RNAcentral lists this ribosomal RNA (460 nucleotides) under uncultured bacterium. Its description in RNAcentral is "partial 16S ribosomal RNA". It matches the Rfam family "Bacterial small subunit ribosomal RNA", at positions 338 to 795 of the family's 1533-position model. The record is from RNAcentral.
CCUACGGGAGGCAGCAGUGAGGAAUAUUGGUCAAUGGGCUUACGCCUGAACCAGCCAAGUCGCGUGAGGGAAGACUGCCCUAUGGGUUGCAAACCUCUUUUGUCAGGGAGCAAUUGGCGCUACGUGUAGCGUUAUCGAGAGUACCUGAAGAAAAAGCAUCGGCUAACUCCGUGCCAGCAGCCGCGGUAAUACGGAGGAUGCGAGCGUUAUCCGGAUUUAUUGGGUUUAAAGGGUGCGUAGGCGGAAUGCCAAGUCAGCGGUAAAAUCGCGGGGCUCAACCUCGCUCCGCCGUUGAAACUGGCGGUCUUGAGUGGGCGAGAAGUAUGCGGAAUGCGUGGUGUAGCGGUGAAAUGCAUAGAUAUCACGCAGAACUCCGAUUGCGAAGGCAGCAUACCGGCGCCCAACUGACGCUGAAGCACGAAAGCGUGGGUAUCGAACAGGAUUAGAUACCCGGGUAGUC